RNAcentral lists this unclassified non-coding RNA (1346 nucleotides) under Monomorium pharaonis (pharaoh ant). Its description in RNAcentral is "putative nuclease HARBI1, transcript variant X12". Lineage: Eukaryota; Metazoa; Arthropoda; Insecta; Hymenoptera; Formicidae. The record is from RNAcentral.
GCGAGAUAACUCCAGAGGAGAGAAUUUCGCACGAGAGGAACGCACCGACAGUCGGCGCCGAGCCGUUCUCGCGCGAUAUUGUUGUUUCUGCUUGAUUUUACGUAUCCUUUCGCGGCGCGAUGAUACUCACCGUUUAUGACUUUCGAUCAACCGCCAUAAAGUGCGUCCCUUAGAAUUCUGCUGCGCGAGUGAGAACUGUCGCGUGGUGAAAGAUAGGACAGUUUCGCCGUUUCGCCAGAAGAUCCAUGUGCUCCCAGCAUGGCCAUCAUGCAAUCCUGUUGCUGUUGGCAGUCUGUACGCAAAGGCAGCUAUGCUUGUGCCAUUUACACUCUAAUAUACUACGCUCUGUUAGCGUGGACUACAAGUACGAUUUUUUUGGAGGAAAGUCAGUACCUAAGAGGAAAUGUUUCUCUGCCGAAAUCCUCCAGCUUUUUGGAAUCGGGGACUAUAUCGCCGACGACGAUUCGAUUCAACGGAAUGCUGCUUAUCUGCUCCUGCUGCGGCGUGCUGUGCAGUCUCCUUCUUUUAUACGGUUUGUUCAAGGAUCAUAAAGUGUUGCUGUUACCAUGGAUUAUCGUAAUCAUCACGACCGGUAUCACUGACCUAAUACAUACCUUGUAUUUACUCAUUGCCACACGUGACCUUAUUCCAACAAAAGUUAUGAUCUACACGUUAAAUUUCUUUCUACUUUGUUUAAAUAUAUACUCGCUAUUAUGUGUCAUCUCACAGUAUCAAGAAUAUUCAGCUGGUCGUGGCACCGCUGCACACGAAUACAGGUAUCCUUUGAAGGUUCCAGUAGUGAAAUAUGUGACUCAACCACCAACUACGACCGCCACCACAUCGUGUCCAAGUUCACGAAGAGGUGUGACCAAUAACGAAACAAAGGCAACACCGACUCAGAGUCCCACAAUAUGUCACAAUCCUCUGUUAUCGGAGAAAAGUCCGAGUACUGGGAGUCGUGUAUCACGAAAACAUGUACAGUUUCCAUCAUCGAGUCAGAUAGAGAGGCCAGGUUGAAAUGUUGGAUCUCUUUUACGCUUGACACUUAUAGAAAUUGAACUAGACAUUUUUUCCGAAUCCAAUAGUAGAGAUCCCAACAAACUGUUCGUCGACAAUUGAGCGUAACGCGAGGACAUGGCUGCAACUCAACGAUAUUUUAACAACCCUGAUUACCAAUUCUCCUCGACGAUGAGCAUAAUAAUUGCUCGUGAAAAAUAUAGAUAUAAUUACAUAUAAUUAUUAAUAACAUGUAUGUGAUUGUAUGAUCUCCAUGGAAGACCUAUUAUAUUACUAUUGUUGUAAAUAUGUUAAUGAAUUUAUUGAUGGAUAAAGAAAAAUCAAACUGA